GGUUGUGGCUCAAUUGUAGAGCACUUGUCUAGCAUAUGUGAGGCACUGGGUUCGAUUCUCAGCAAUGCA
RNAcentral lists this transfer RNA (69 nucleotides) under Marmota monax (woodchuck). Its description in RNAcentral is "tRNA.Ala". It matches the Rfam family "tRNA", at positions 5 to 66 of the family's 71-position model. Rfam says of the family: Transfer RNA (tRNA) molecules are approximately 80 nucleotides in length. Lineage: Eukaryota; Metazoa; Chordata; Mammalia; Rodentia; Sciuridae. The record is from RNAcentral.